Molecule: unclassified non-coding RNA, 343 nt
Filed under: soil metagenome
Description: partial contains 5.8S ribosomal RNA, internal transcribed spacer 2, and large subunit ribosomal RNA
Rfam family: 5.8S ribosomal RNA (bases 2-120)
Source: RNAcentral
UAUGAAGAACGCAGCGAAAUGCGAUAAGUAAUGUGAAUUGCAGAAUUCAGUGAAUCAUCGAAUCUUUGAACGCACAUUGCGCCCGCCAGCAUUCUGGCGGGCAUGCCUGUUCGAGCGUCAUUUCAACCCUCGAGCCCCCCCGGGGGCCUCGGUGUUGGGGGACGGCACACCAGCCGCCCCCGAAAUGCAGUGGCGACCCCGCCGCAGCCUCCCCUGCGUAGUAGCACACACCUCGCACCGGAGCGCGGAGGCGGUCACGCCGUAAAACGCCCAACUUUCUUAGAGUUGACCUCGGAUCAGGUAGGAAUACCCGCUGAACUUAAGCAUAUCAAUAAGCGGAGGA